Molecule: transfer RNA, 64 nt
Filed under: uncultured Fimbriimonas sp.
Lineage: Bacteria; Bacillati; Armatimonadota; Fimbriimonadia; Fimbriimonadales; Fimbriimonadaceae
Rfam family: tRNA
About the family: Transfer RNA (tRNA) molecules are approximately 80 nucleotides in length. Their secondary structure includes four short double-helical elements and three loops (D, anti-codon, and T loops).
Source: RNAcentral
UAGUAGCUCAACGGUAGAGCGGCUGAUUUGUAAUCAGUAGGUUGCGGGUUCGAUUCCUGUCUGG